UACGGGAGGCAGCAGUGGGGAAUAUUGCACAAUGGGCGAAAGCCUGAUGCAGCUAUGCCGCGUGUAUGAAGAAGGCCUUAGGGUUGUAAAGUACUUUCAUCGGGGAGGAAAAACAAAACUAAUAAUUUUAUUUCUUGACGUUACCUGAAAAAGAAGCACCGGCUAACUCCGUGCCAGCAGCCGCGGUAAUACGGAGGGUGCUAGCGUUAAUCAGAAUUACUGGGCGUAAAGAGCACGUAGGUGGUUUUUUAAGUCAGAUGUGAAAUCCCUGGGCUUAACCUAGGAACUGCAUUUUGAAACUGAAAUACUAGAGUAUCGUAGAGGGAGGUAGAAUUCUAGGUGUAGCGGUGAAAUGCGUAGAUAUCUGGAGGAAUACCUGUGGCGAAAGCGGCCUCCUAAACGAAUACUGACACUGAGGUGCGAAAGCGUGGGGAGCAAACAGGGAUUAGAUACC
RNAcentral lists this ribosomal RNA (454 nucleotides) under uncultured bacterium. RNAcentral's name for it is "bacterial SSU rRNA". It matches the Rfam family "Bacterial small subunit ribosomal RNA", at positions 340 to 786 of the family's 1533-position model. The record is from RNAcentral.